UUAGAGAGGGAUCAUAACUAAUUUGCGGGACCACCAACACGUCUGUUGUAGCAGAUCACGACUUCUGCGGCACCUGCCAGAAAACGCAUACAUUUUUCUUCCUCUUUAGUCUUCUAUCCACCCCUAAAUCCCAUUCCAAAGCGAAAACAAGAAAACCUAUAAGAACCAAACAAACUUUCAAAUCAAAUUUAUAAUCGAAACCCGGACAUCGUUUGUUUUCAGUCUCGUUUUGAAUUAAAAGGAGAGAAAAUGUCGGCCGAUUUGACGCUGAGAUCUUCGUGCAGCGGAUGUGGAUCGACGUCGGAAUUAUACGGAAGUAAUUGCAAGCACAUGACUCUGUGCCUGUCCUGUGGCAAAACCAUGGCUGAGAACCGCGCCAAAUGC
Molecule: non-coding RNA, 384 nt
Organism: Prunus avium (sweet cherry)
Lineage: Eukaryota; Viridiplantae; Streptophyta; Magnoliopsida; Rosales; Rosaceae
Source: RefSeq, a predicted model, not a curated record